This 29-nucleotide non-coding RNA is filed under the name Homo sapiens (human). Lineage: Eukaryota; Metazoa; Chordata; Mammalia; Primates; Hominidae. The record is from RNAcentral.
ACGAAUGGACUUGACUGUCUUUGCCUGGU